Chelonia mydas (Green sea turtle) is the source of this 6947-nucleotide long non-coding RNA. RefSeq lists it as uncharacterized. The transcript is spliced from 4 exons. The record is from RefSeq and is a predicted model, not a curated record. Lineage: Eukaryota; Metazoa; Chordata; Testudines; Cheloniidae.
CUUAGACGUUAAUGGUUCAGGAUUGUCAAGCCGCGGCCCAGCCCCCCUCACCCCAGAGCACCCAGCCUGUGAGCGCUCCGUGCAGGGCACCUCCCCGUGCUUGGCACACGCCUGCCCCGUGUCGGGGGGCUCAGCAAGAGGCGCGGGCACGGGGGGAGGGACAUUGCACAAGGAGCAGGAGGAGUGAAGCUCCAGCACAAAGAGGCUUGUACACCAGCCAACAUCUCGCCCAGCCCGGGGUCCCUGCGUCGCGGUUUCUCAUGGAAAUCAGAAGCAUCUUUUUGAUCCACAUCAAGAAUAGGGUUUAAGACAGGUAAAUGGAACCUUGCAUCAUUUCCAAUGCUCCCCGAAGGGAAUGCAGUAAAAACGCUGGUUUAGUUCUCUGCCUUUAAACCACCAUUUUCUCUAAAAUAUGGGAAUUAGGAGCAAUGCUGGGGGGAAAGGGACAGGGACGCGGAAGAGGGCAGAGAAAGUCCAGCCUAUCAAGGGGACUUUAGUACAUCCGUUCCUGUCUGCAAAGAGUUAAUCUGACAGAUGCUACCACCGAGCAUUUUGGGGUGCCAUUUUCACAUCCAUUAUUGCUCUGCCACCUUUUGCUUUGGAAAAUCUAACCCAACCCUGACAAUCAAGGCAAGUCUAGAAAUAAUGGGAUAUUUAAUUCCUAGCAGCUUCUCAAAACCCUAAGGAAUGCCCUUAUCUGCCUCUCUUAAAAAGACCAUAAUCAAACUAGUUACUGAAUGCCCAGCUAGUGCCAUAGGCAAAAGAAGGCUUGCUUCAGAGCCAGACUCAGCCACUCCUGGAGUGCAGUAACGUCCGACUGAAUUCAGAUUUCACACUCCGCCAGGAAUCAAAAUGAAGGAAUACAAAGUCCUGCUGUGGCAGAGUGAGGGGCAAUGCCCAGACAGGGGAAGCGUAGAACAGCACUGAAUGCCCAGAAUGUUGAAUCUUAGCAAUCAUGGUGUGUAAGUGGCUGUAACUCCGCCCUGAAGAAAGCCAUUCUCUCUCCCCACUCUGCUCUUCUGCUCACCUCCGCUCAUCACACAGGCUGCUCGUGUGACUUGACUCUUGUAGGGUGGGCUCUUGUUCCUUCGUGCAUUCUGCUCCUGCCGAGUGCAAAGCUGGGCUUCAGUCCUGGCUUCCUUUUUGUUUAUCCCUUGCUUAACCUGAACAAUACGGCUGCAUAUUCACAUCUGCCGCAUCCCCGCAUGCUACGCUAGCUAAAGCUCCCUGCAACCAAUGUAUACACAAGCCAACAGGCAGCCCAAGACUGCAACCAGAAAGCACAGUUCAGUGGUGCCCAAAACGAGCAUUUUGUUAACUGCCACCAGCAUGCUGUCAUUUAUUCUCUCCACUCGAUUCCCAGGAACACACUCCACUUAUGGCCCAACAAAGGGAGUGUGCUAAAGCUCUCAGUUCACUGGCAACAGGGCAAUUACCUACCUUUAGAGAACCCAACCUCCAUCUUACGGCCCCAUGCCGGGAAACCCUGUGCUACAUUUCUUACUGGCUUCCACUGUGUCUAUUCUAGCCGUGUGGGGCAACCUUCCUACGGACUCCCGAAGACGGCCCCAGGUCCUAUGGAUGAUCCUCAGUGCAUGGUGUUCAGCAAAUGCAUGCAUGCCGGGGCUUCCUGAGGAGAGCCAUUUUCAUACAGACGGCUAAUUGUUAGCUGGAAUAAUAAUAACUAGCUGACAGCUGUAUCCCAUCAGAGACUGUGCUGCAGUCAUCUCUGCCCAUUUCCAGAGGGGUUUAGCCAGGGCUCUUGUUGUUAUGUUCAUAUUGAUUUUGAACAUAAAUCGUCAGCAAAGUCAGACUCUAAUGGCUGCUGUCAGCUGACUGUAUUUCAGCUAAAUACAAAGGUGGGGCCAGACCCCAGUCACAGGUAUCCUGGGGUGAAUCCAGAGUAACUCUAUUGAAGAUGAAGCCUCUCGUGUAACUGAGAUCAGAAUCCGACCCAAACUCUCUGUAGCUUUACAGAAGAUUUCAAGGAGUGCAUGAGGCUGGGCGGGUUAGGAUAUUACGGUCUGAAAUGGGUAAUUGUUUGGUGUGGACUUUCUAUGCCUCCUUCAUACACACACCCGGGGAUAGCUGUGCAUGGGCUCCAGGAAACUCAGAGAGGCUCCUUUCUAGCACUGCUGUUGGGAAGAAGCUGCAGGGGGCUUAGGGGUAAUUUUCUGGGAGCUAGAUUCUGCCCCAAGUGACUAGCACGAGGUCCGUUGUCCUCUGCAAGUGAGCUCAGUGCUGGUGGUCAAUGGAGGAUGUCUAUGGCUUUGUCUCCUAGUGACACAAAGAGGAAACGGGUCCUUUUUCAGCAUCACUUCGGACACAGUGUAACAAAAGAUGCUUCAAUGGUUCUUGGCAUUCUGCCCCACCUGUCCCCAUGUUCACACCACACAGAGACACACACAUUGUGCAAAUGUGUAUACAAGUUACAGGUGGUCAAAACACCUGAUUGCAUCAAAAACGUUUUUUUGUUUUAUUUCCCCAAAAAAUCAAAUUUUGAUCAAAAAUGUAAUUGAAAAAUUGAAAUUCAGAAAAUUUGGACCAACUUUAACAAUCUAGUCAGCCCUGAAAACAACACAGGUGCGCACACACACAUCAGGUGGGGAAGCAGCUAGUUCAAGGGAAAUCUAGGCAGUGGACAGCAGCAGCAAAUGGAGAUACACAACUAUCUCGGAAUGGUUUCAGACCCACCCUCCCCUUUUCCUGCAGAGAAUCAGGUUUUGUACAGAUUCCACACCCCAGACUAAGGGCUGGCUCCCUCUUCCAGGGCACGGGCAUGGUUCCUUUUAUUGCCGUCUGUGAUAGUGUGAAUCACCGCAGCACGUGCCGUGCAGGUGUUAGUAGGAGUAGCCCUGUAGGAAGGCAAGACCAUGAGCACGGGUUCUGGAUCAUGGCACAAGUAGCCGGGGGAUCCAGCCCAAUGAGGGGCUGGCUUGUUGACUGAGGAGCUGCUGGUGUCUGGGAAUCAUCUCCUUUUGAUUAAGCAGUGUCAGCAAAGUGACUCCGGCGGCACGCGGGGAGCCAGGCUUUUGCUCUUCCUGAACGGAAGACCCAAUGCCCUGCCCCUCACCCCCAUCAGGACUGUCCCCCGCCCCGGGGCGUGCUAUGCAGCCGGACAGCAGGGAGCGCACAGCAUUGCGGCACGCCCAGCACUCCAGGGCUCAGAGCUACGGCCCCAAUUAGCUCGUGUUCCGCCUUCGUCUUCUCUCUCCUUCGGAAUGUAAAGCUGGCUCCUUCCUAAGUCAUGAAUGGAAGCCAGUCCAGCCAGCGCCCGAGUGACCAGUGAGCCCCGCUCUGACACCGCACGCGCCGCUGGCUGACGCCAUGUCUAAUGAAGAGGAUUUGAUCAAAUGAGAGCGAGCGACUCUGGAGAAAGCCGGGGGCUUGGCUUCUGCAUGCCCUAGCCCUGGAGAUGCCCAAGCCAAAGGGGCUCCUUUGGAGGGGACUUGCAUGCAGACAUGGACGGCGCCACUAGCCACCCCUUUCCUAGUCCAGUAGUGUCUUUGCUGUCACGUUUUCUCCUAGCUUAGGGUGGGGGUGGCCCCAGAGGACUGCAGUCCAUCCAUCUCUGUAUCCCCAGGGACAGAGCCAGUGUGGGACCUUUCUGUAGCCAGGAGAGGCUCUGCAGCUUCCUCUGAAAGCACCUUGCCCAGAAGAGGGGCCUAUAGCCCCUGCGCCAGCCCAGCCCAGGGACAGGGAGCCUCUGGCACAGUCUCCUCUGAGCCCCCGUUUCCCACAGGGCGGCAGAGCAUCGCAGGCAAGACUCUCCUGCUGGGGUGCUUAUUAGUGCGGGGCUUCCCUUCGGUGCCACCUGGACCCCAGGAACUGGGGAGCUGGGUGGCCGUGGAAGGUGCCGCAUGCUGUUCUCUUUUGCUGUGUUGGUUGCUUUCUUUUGCAGCUGCUAACGACUGACCUGAGGUCUGUUCACACACAGUCCCCUGCACGGCCAGAGCAGCAAGACAAGAUGGGGGGUUAUUUUACAGUGUUCUCGUAGCCAGUGGCACCAGAGACACCAGAUGUCUGCCUGAGGGAUGCGCCAUCUCGCUCCCCAGUGGGAUUCCUGAGCCCUGGCGACCCGAUGGCAGCGCUGUGGCGGUGCCCUGGCAAGGAAGGGGCAGCAGUGAGUCACCGCACCUCAAACUGGCACCAUGGGGAGCGGGUUUCUGUUCUUUGCCACAAAUCCCCAGGAGCCAGUGUGGCUCCAGAGAGGAUCACGCUGACUGGGCUGGCCUGUGAGUGUAGCCAUGAGGCUGCCUGCUCGGAGCUGCGGGAGCAGCACGCACAGGACACUGCCAAAGGUAUUGCUUAGUGACGACACCCGGAAGAUUUGAGACUGUAGCAAACGCCACGUGGCAGCCUGUGCGUGUCGACUGCCCGACAGAUUGCGGCCCAGCCCAUGCCCCCCUUUCACAGGGGUAGACGGCUUGCAGUGGGAGAGGGCUGUGAGACGGAGCGUGGCUAAGGCUAGCUCUGGGUCAGCGGGGCUUUCUUGCCAGGGUCACUUCUCCGAGCCAGUGCAAAUCCCGAUGCCUCAGCCCUUUCACAGAGUUAGUUCCCUCGGGAGGAGAACAAGAGCUAAGGGCUGGGGAACGUUCUAGAUGCUUACGAAUGGGGGUGACGCCAAAGCAGUUCAUGCUUGUCUGAAACCUCCCCCGGAAAGAGAACUGAUUUCCUUAGGGCUCCCCCACCCCGCCCUUGGGGCAGUGGGCCAGGAGGGCGGGGCUGGGUUUGUAGUGUCCAUCCGCAGAUUAUCCUCAGGGCUGAGAGGACAGACUGCCACUGGGCUCAGCGCUGGUGCAGGCUACUGCAUUCGCCCGAUCUGCAUGAAUGAUGGUGCUUAGCCUUUCUGGCUCGCCGGGGUGCUCCCCUCCCCCUGAGUGAUAUACCGGGGUGCUAGGAGCCAAGGGAUCACCUGGCCGUGGUGGUAGCUCUGGACAUACUGAAUGGGAAAUGGUGGCGGUGGGGGGAGCUUAAGGAACAAGUUCGUCCCACUGGCCUUUCGUCACCGGCUCAUGCCAUGACUUCUCUGCUCCGGUGAAUGUUCCUUUUGUGAAUGGUGCCGAGCCCAGUAGCAGUGGAGCUGGGGUGGGGGCCAGCGAGCCUGCUCUGAGUCCCUUGAGCCCCCGGAGAGGCUUGUGUGGUGUGAUCUCCUCGUGUCAGCGCGAGAGCUCGGGGCUCAGAGGGACCCAGGCUGUGCAUUGUCUCUAUCACCUGCAGGCGACGUUCUGGGGCUUUUCUCUGCCAUGCCUGUCCUGCGCAGCGGGUGUCAGGCUGUAAUAAGGGGAGCGUGCCUCAGGGAGAUUGGCUUGCCCCGAUGCCUGUGUGCCGGGCUGUGUGUUUAAAAACCUGUCAGCCUCCAAGAGCAACGUGGAGGGAAUGCCACCUCUCAGAACUCCCCUGAGCCACAGUCCUCCACCACCAUGCUAAGCAAGCGCCGCGUUCCCCUGGUAAACGUAACAACUCCAGCACUUUCCUGCUGCUGGGAGGUGGGUGGGAGCGCGCCCCAGGGAGGUCAGGGAGCAGCUUCUGCAGGCGGGGUGCUGUGGUGGGACUUGCAGGUCGGAUUCUUUUAGCAAAAUUAGCUGCAGGUGUGUUCCCGUUCAGUGAGGAGCUCUCCGAGAAGCCAGCUUGGAGGGCCUCGCGCCAGGAGCUGGCACCGGGCGAGUCCAGCUAGUUCCCAUGUGUGCCAGCACAGUGCGUGAACGCUGCAGCGUCUGUAGAGCGGGGGGGAAGGAAUCUCCUGGCUGUAUCUACCUACUUCUGACGAGAGAGGAGCCGAGGGAGCCAGGUGGGGGCAUAGAGUGCCCCGUUUGGUUCCAGGGGGUUAUUUCCUGCUUUCCUUUCCCCCUCACUUCCCAUCCCUGAGACAUUCCCUAGUGCGUGUGACAGAUGGAGCCUGCCUUAGCUAGGAACCUUCUGCGUCUCCCGCUUCACAGCCGCAGUUAGUUCCCUGUGGUUCUGUGCUGCUCCAUGGGCAUGCUGGGGAGAGCCCCCACGCCAAGCACCCUCAAUACGCCCAGCCUGCCGGGUUCAUGGUCAGGCCGUGGGGGAGAGCCAGAAGACGGAUCUUCACUGUUCUUUGGAAUUCCAUUUGUUUCCCUACUGGGCCCCUGCUCGCAAGACACCAGCUACUCAGACCGGGACAGAAAUAGCUUUGUCUCUCCAACAGCCCAGCGGCCGCCAGCUCAUGGCCUUUGCCCCAGCCAUCAGCUUAGAGCAAUUUCACAGUGUUCUCCUAACCCUGUUACCCAUUUCCUUCCUCUGCAUCUUCUGGCACACUCCUGCCCAGUAGAUCGGACGCAUUCAGCUCUGAUGGGCUGGCAGCUCCUUGGCUCGGUCACUACGGGCCCGUCUCCACCGCCUGUGGCCGCAAUCAACAGGCUCAGGCUGGUGGAGCUGGGGCUGCCGUGUGGCUCGGCCUGGGGCUCGGGCUCUGAAGGCCAGGAAGCGGGGUGGGCUUUGGAACCCGAGCUCCAGCCUGGGACGCCACACCAAAGCCCUGGCUGGACAGCGAGUGCCAGUGUGAGCCCUGCAAACCCGGGCUGGAGGCUCGCUGCUGCGGGCAGCGCAGACAGACCCCAAUAGCCUGACUCUCACCUGCCCUGGAGCUGUGGGCAGGAUUCCCUCCUAGCUGGUGUGAGUGAGGGGAGCGCGCUGGCUUGGUAGCUGUGUAGAUGCUUCUGCACAGGGGUGCAUGGCAGCAGGAGGGGCCGAGCGCUCUCCUAGGCCAGGACGGUGCUAGGGGCUGCGUUUGCAAAGUGCUUUAUUCUCCAGUUCGGUUAUUUAGGGUCACACAGGCCAGUUCUAGCCUCAGAAUAAUGAGCCAACAACAUUCCAAAUCCCGGCCCGAUCGCCCAAAGGCGUCUCCUCCCGACAGAUACCAGGAGCUGCCCCUGGCCUAUGACAGCAGCAUGGGCUAAACUCCAAGGAGGUGCAUCCCCCAC